Molecule: long non-coding RNA, 358 nt
Filed under: Elaeis guineensis (African oil palm)
Lineage: Eukaryota; Viridiplantae; Streptophyta; Magnoliopsida; Arecales; Arecaceae
Description: long non-coding RNA (EGUI_LNC015655)
Source: RNAcentral
AUAUGUUAAUGGAGGAUUGGUACAAAUACAUGAGAGAUAAAUAGUAUUAAUAAAGGUUCUAGGUACCAUUCAAUCAAAUCCGAUUGUUUUUUUUUCCUCCUGAUGUGAUGGAACAUUCGUACAAUAUAUAUAUGAAUACAAUCUAAAAAAUUAAAAAAAAAAAUAUUUCGAAAGAAUAUGAUAGACAUAUCUGAUAUCCAUGGAGAUACAAUCUGUUAACAAAAACCUGAUAUCAUGAAUAAAUAUAUUAGAAAUAUUUUUUAUCUACGAAAUCAACUAAUCACUGUAGUUGAGACACCCUCCACUAUCAACCGAUCAAUCUUGAAAUGAAGCCCCGCAUAGAAAAUAUUCUUCCAAA